AUUGAUUAUCAAAACCACAAUGUGAACCAGUUGUCCCACGCUUUUGCGCAGCGCGGUGCCUAGCACUGGCGGGCCUUGGGAUUGCCCCCUCACGGGGGCUUUCACAGGGUUAUCUGCGCAUCUGCGUGCUUCCCACACCCAGUGUAACCACUGAGUUGUGCCAAGCAAUUGGCAUAGCCAAACCAAACCCUGAAGAAAAGAUUGCCAUACAAUGGCGGUCAAAAACGAAAACAACUCUCAACAACGGAUAUCUUGGCUCUCGCAACGAUGAAGAACGCAGCGAAAUGCGAUACGUAGUGUGAAUUGCAGAAUUCCGUGAACCAUCGAAUCUUUGAACGCAUAUUGCGCUCGAGCCCUCGGGCAAGAGCAUGUCUGCCUCAGCGUCGGUUUACACCCUCACACCCCAUCCUUUUGGAUUGUGCCAAGCCUACCUGGCUUGCGGGUGUGGAUUUGGCUUCCCCAAUCGGCCUAGCAGCUGAUUGGGUUGGCUGAAGUUGAGAGGCUUGAGCAAGGACCCAUUAUGGGCAUCAACUGGAUAGGUAGUGCCGGCCAACCUUGGUCGCUUACACGAAGUUGUUGCUUGUGGACCUUGCUGGGGGCCAGCAGGAAACACGCACUAGCGUGACCUAAACCUUCGACCUGAGCUCAGGCAAGAACACCCGCUGAACUUAAGC
This 674-nucleotide ribosomal RNA is filed under the name Pectinodesmus regularis. RNAcentral's name for it is "eukaryotic LSU rRNA". The stretch from base 233 to 386 matches the Rfam family "5.8S ribosomal RNA". Lineage: Eukaryota; Viridiplantae; Chlorophyta; Chlorophyceae; Sphaeropleales; Scenedesmaceae. The record is from RNAcentral.